RNAcentral lists this ribosomal RNA (465 nucleotides) under uncultured bacterium. RNAcentral's name for it is "partial 16S ribosomal RNA". It matches the Rfam family "Bacterial small subunit ribosomal RNA", at positions 29 to 507 of the family's 1533-position model. The record is from RNAcentral.
AUGAACGCUGGCGGCGUGCUUAACACAUGCAAGUCGAACGAUGAAGCCCAGCUUGCUGGGUGGAUUAGUGGCGAACGGGUGAGUAACACGUGAGUAACCUGCCCUUAACUCUGGGAUAAGCCUGGGAAACCGGGUCUAAUACCGGAUAGGAGCGUCCACCGCAUGGUGGGUGUUGGAAAGAUUUAUCGGUUUUGGAUGGACUCGCGGCCUAUCAGCUUGUUGGUGAGGUAAUGGCUCACCAAGGCGACGACGGGUAGCCGGCGUGAGAGGGUGACCGGCCACACUGGGACUGAGACACGGCCCAGACUCCUACGGGAGGCAGCAGUGGGGAAUAUUGCACAAUGGGCGCAAGCCUGAUGCAGCGACGCCGCGUGAGGGAUGACGGCCUUCGGGUUGUAAACCUCUUUCAGUAGGGAAGAAGCGAAAGUGACGGUACCUGCAGAAGAAGCACCGGCUAACUACGUG